Molecule: ribosomal RNA, 429 nt
Filed under: Chloroflexota bacterium
Lineage: Bacteria; Bacillati; Chloroflexota
Description: Chloroflexi bacterium partial 16S ribosomal RNA
Rfam family: Bacterial small subunit ribosomal RNA
Source: RNAcentral
UGGGGAAUAUUGCACAAUGGGCGCAAGCCUGAUGCAGCCAUGCCGCGUGUAUGAAGAAGGCCUUCGGGUUGUAAAGUACUUUCAGCGGGGAGGAAGGGAGUAAAGUUAAUACCUUUGCUCAUUGACGUUACCCGCAGAAGAAGCACCGGGUAACUCCGUGCCAGCAGCCGCGGUAAUACGGAGGGUGCAAGCGUUAAUCGGAAUUACUGGGCGUAAAGCGCACGCAGGCGGUUUGUUAAGUCAGAUGUGAAAUCCUCGGGCUCAACCUGGGAACUGCAUCUGAUACUGGCAAGCUUGAGUCUCGUAGAGGGGGGUAGAAUUCCAGGUGUAGCGGUGAAAUGCGUAGAGAUCUGGAGGAAUACCGGUGGCGAAGGCGGCCCCCUGGACGAAGACUGACGCUCAGGUGCGAAAGCGUGGGGAGCAAACAGG